GUUGUGGGGCCGAGCGCGGGCGGGAGCGGGGAUGUCUGAGUCAGAGCUGCAUCCUCCGAUGAACAAACGCCUAAACUCCCUCCUCGGCCGCUCUCCCCCACCCCGACCUCCGGCUUCUUCCUCACGACCUCACGUCGAUGCUCUCGGCAUGCGUGUUCUUUCUGAACCUUAAACUGAGCACAUUUUCGCCACAAGCUGCGCGAAAAGCCGGACGGACCUGCCGGAUCCCACACAGGCAGAGGAACUUACUGAGGGGCAGGGAAGAGGGGGGCGAGCAAGAAGCGGGUGCUUUGGCCGAGACCUGCUCAGGAGGUUUUGACUGAAUCUAUCAGUAAGACACUCGAGGCUGAGAAUCUUCCCCGAAGCGUUUAGGACUCAUGUAUAAGGCAAGUGGGAGAGAGCUUCUUUCCUUAAAGCGAGUGGGACAGCACGCGAUUUCUGUUCUGCGGGGAACGAGACGAACAGCCAACGAGCCUCAUUUGCCCUUUAGGGAACGGCGCUCAGGGAGCAGGAACAGCAUGCUUCCCUCCAGACCAGCGGCGCUGGCAAAGCCAGGAGCUCGCUCGCCGUUUCAGGGCAGACGCAGCCUCUGCCAUUUGUACCGAGCCCUUCUUCCUGCCACCAUAUCGCCUCCCAGCUCCCCGCGCUGCCCGCACGCCGCCCCGUCUCCCCUGCCCGACUUCAGCCCCUCCAGCGAUACGGCUGAUUGAGGGAGGGGAGGCGGCGGCUGGGGUUUCAUUCGACGCCCACCAGGGGCUGAGCGAGCCUCCUUCAGUGCGCAAACUCGGGGCACCAGAUAAAAGCUGGGCUGGCAGCUCUUACCCUGCCUCGAUGGAGCCGCAACAUUCGGGUGACUGGAGAAGCAGUUAGCAGCAGCGCCAUAGACUAGCGUCCCCCCACACCUUGAGCACAGAGAGUUUGGGGCUCUAAACAGCUGCUGCUGCGGCAGGAGGGAGCCGAGGGCGCUUGGCUGGGGCUGCUCGCUCGGGUUCUGCCUGUUGUUGCGCGAAAUGGCGGCUGGCGUCUUGCAGGGGCAGCCGCAGCUGGGCAGGGUCGGGAGCUGCCGGGGGAGGCAAAGAGAGAAAACGGGCGCCAUGAUCCCAGCGCCAGGGAGGAACUCCGCGGGCAGGGCGUCCCCGAAGAGCUGGUGGAAAAGGAAAGGAGGACCAGGCUUGGGCUUCUUCCCGAACAGUGCCGGGGCUGUGCGGAGAGGAGCGGGGGAAGAGCGAGAGGGGAGUAACUCGCGCCUGCCUUUGUAACUGCGUCAGUACAAGAUGGCGCAGGGUGUCCCUGGAGAGGGAAGGGAGUUGCACGUCCGCCGGAGGUCAUGUGACCGCGUUGCAUUCCUGUGGGGUUUGGCUGCGGACCAAGCUGGCUGAGGCGGCGGCGGCUGCCCGGGACAGCCCGGGCUUCCCCCCUCCUCCCGCACCCCGCCGGCGGGCCCGCGCUGCUUCCCCUCCCCCAUCAGCCUUGUGCACGAGGGUGUAGCUGCUGCCGAGGAAGGUUCUCGCUUCUCUCCUUAUUCUCCACCCACCUCCAGGGUGUAGCUGCUCUCGGGGGAAGCUUUUCAUUCCGCCCCCUCUCUGCGCAGGGCUUUACCCACCGCCAGGGAAAGUUCCCCCCGGGCGCCUGCUGGCUCCGCCCGAGCGUGGGAGCCGGGUGCGCUCACGGUGGUGCCGCUCGCCCGGUGCGGGGUCACUCCGCUGCCCCUCAGGCUCCCGGGGUCACCGAGUGGUUCCUACCGAAACAGUCCGUUUAAGCGAUGUUCAAAUGACCUCAUUAAAGCCGCUGAGGAAAACGCACAGGCUAUGCGGAGUUGUUCUUCUGACGAGGAGGUCGUGGCUGCUCCGUUGUUGCUCUGCCGGGGGUACUGGGCAGGGGGGCCAAGGGAGAAUCUGCGAGGUGUUCAUGACUUUAUUCUAUUUGAACAGGAAAAGUGGAUCGCUGUUCUUUUAUUUGUGUGUUGUUGGAUCCCAUUGUACGGAGUCGAGCAGCUUUUCUUUGGGGUGAUGUGUGUAUUCCAAAGUCAGGCCACAGUGGCCUGUUUCUUUAACAUAGGAAUUAACGUAUAUACUUAGUGCAGAUGAAAACUGUGGUUUGCGAAUAUUGUGAGGACUCCCCAUGCUGUAUUUUCUGAGGUUCAUAGGAAAAUGAACUCGUUACACAGGUCUGGGUAGGCUUGCAAGAUUGGCAGAUAUAUUUUCUUGGUCUUCUCUUAUUUAAAUAUUUUAAUGCAGGGGAAGUGGAAAAAUGUAUGUUUUCCAAUCCUAAUGCUUUUCGUUAAGGAAUGCAACUCCUCUUACUGUUUGGGUGAAGUUCUUGAGCUUUCAAAGCAGUGCAGUGCCAGCUCCCAUGUUUUGUUCUUGUAUGCCACGGUGUAAAUUUAGCCACUGCAUCUGACCCAAUGAACAAAUUAACAGUUAAAAUUGCUGAUGCUUUAAGGGUGGAGGUUUAUUUUAUUUGUAAAUGUUUCACUUUUUCUGUUGUUAUUUUAUCCCCAGAUAAGAUUUUUUUUUUCUUUUUACUUCCACUCUAGUAACCUGGUAGGGUAGGGGAUAAAGCUUGAAUACUUCACGAAUGUGGUGUUUUGAGAACUACUGGAAUGAAAGUAACUGAGCGUAUGACUAAUAUAGAAGAUUCCUGUAUAAUAGAUGGUCCUUAAUAUGUGUUACAUAAGUAAGACGGUGAGGUGGAGUCCAGUUACAUAAGAACUGGCUGGGGCCUUGGGAGCUACUCUAAGUAGUCCAUAUUGGUUGCAUAUACAGCCUGCAGGGCAUCCAUGUGUUGUGGGAGGAGGGGUGGAAAAACAGGAUUGGAAGCAUCUAAUAGCCCUACAUUUUUCCUUUGUAGCUUAUGUAGAGGAUACCAGGAAAGAAAGGGAGAAGACAGUAAUUAAGAAUGACACAGUGAGAAGCUUUCAAAAGUCCAGAGUCUCAUUUGAGCCUACCUUUUAGGACAUAAGCUCAGUUUCAGCAUCUCCCCCUUUUUUUUGAGUGUCUGAAGGUGGCUGUCAACUGAGCAUUGUGCCAACCUAUUUCUGUGCAGACAACUAUAAAGAGCAGGAUUCUUGUAUCUUAGAGGUUGCGAGGUGCCUUUUUGGGGGUUUUGUUUUUUUAGUUGUGUUUUUUUUUGUUUGUUUGUUUUUUGAUUUGGUUUUUUUUUUAAGAGAGAGAGGGGGAAGGCAGCUUACUGGAAAUGGUGUUAGGAGGAGGCAGUUAGUUUGUUGACCACUGGAUUACUGAUUCUUGUGUAGGCAUAGUUUGACACAAGGUAAAUACUCCUUCUGUAAUGGAAGCUUCCAGAGAGCCUUUCAGUGUACAGUGACUCUUCUAAUACAGAACAGAUUUAUGUGUGAAUACUCUUUGCAGUUGUGUUAAAGCAAGAGCAUUAAUUUGAACUAAAAAAUGAGGAAAACCCCCAUAUUUUAUUAGUAAUUACAUUUAGGCUUCUGUGCUAUAAUUAUGAAACAGGGAAUAAGGGACUUGUUUGAAUGCUUAAAUUAUAAAAUACUCUAUAUAGAAUACGUGGGAAUGAAAAACUUUAAAUUGGCACCUAGAGUUUUAAUUCUUAAACUGACCUUUUAGGUAGCUCAGUUUGUAUCAGAUUUUGCUUGAAAACCAAGAAAUGGACUACCUUGAGAGUUCUCAGUAACUGGCAGCUUAUUGCAGCAGUACUUGAGCAGAGGUGUGGCUGUGCUUUCAUGAAGCUAUAGAAAUGAAGGCAAGUUUUAAUGAGCUGGUAAUAAUUUCUUGUUUCUAGAUUGUUUUUAUUAGCUGUUCUCGGGGAAGCAGUAUUAGUUAUCUUGAAAGAAACAGCUCCAGCAGUGUUGCAGUGCAGUCUUAAAACAACGUCUGAUGUAUUCCGAACUACUUCUGCCGAGGGAGAUGAGUAAAAACCAAGUGCGCGUACUUCUCUGAGACGGAAAUCUCAGGGGAGGGGAUUUGCCCGAAGGACAGUCUGAUGCAAGCUGUGUGUUAAUCUGGAAGGAAAGGGGAGGGGAAAGAGCUGUAGGAGGGGGAGACUGAGUAAAAACGGGCACGUAGUUUACAUUUUAUGGUCUCAGCUUACCAGGGAGAGUAACAAUUUCUACUGAACUUCAAUUCGUUCCUUUAAUGAGAAUAUUUCAAUUGGCUGGACGUUAUCCAGCAGUAAGAGUUGUGGUUCUGACUUGCCGUCGAAGCCUGUCGGUGCAUGUACGUGUGGUCUGAGCCUUUGCGAAGACCUGUUAUUUAAACACUGUUGUUUACCUUUAGCCUACAAAGGGACUGACAGGAGUUCAAGGGUAUUUAGGGGAGAAAGGAGAGGGAUACUAACAGUGUAAUAGAUCCAAGUAUGCAUUAAUGUCAUAGCUGAAACAGUUGAAGUGGUGCCCAUGCUGAAAGAAGAUCCUGCACCUUUUCUCAGCUGUUCAUUCUUCUGUAAGUGGUCAGGGGAAGUAGGAGUGAAGAAUGGAUCUAACAUAAGCCUGAUUGUAAUAGAUGGCUUUCUAAUGUGACUGUUCAUUGUGUGGCUUCACAAAUGCUCCUGUUUGAACAGGAGUAGAAAGAAGCAGCUGCUGGGAAAAUGGAGAUGUGCAGGUUUUAAUUGUUGGUGAAAUUAGGUAUACUUUUUCUCAGCAAAGAUACAAUUAUUAGGGGAUUUUGACAGGCAGCUCUUCAAGGCUUUUGGCUGGUGUAACUAGAAUCACUGCUCAAGGAGUCAAGCACAAUUCUAAACUUUUAAUGUAUGUAGGGUACUGGUAGAUUAACUUGCAAUUGUAAGUGGCAAGAUCACUUUAGACUGACUGAAAUUGUAGCCUACAAAAGUUAAGUAAAAUGUUACUUCUUUUGAACUGUAGCCUAGUUAAGUUCAGUUUUUGUUGGAAUAGGCUAAAACUUGAAAUAGGUUUGCUUCUUCCAGAAGUGGCUGGUAGUCUAAUAGCUGGGGUAUUCAAUGAAGAAUUAUUCCUACAGAAUGAGUUCUGAGCUACUUAUAAAAUGUGAUACCUGUGGGUCACGGUGGUCACUAGUCAAAUGAAUUUGCAUUACCAGUUUAUUCACCUGGGUAUGGAAAGACUGCUCACCACUCAAACAGCAGCACAACAGGAACUUCCUUUGCACACCACUUCAGGCUUUGUUAUGAUGAGUCCUUCUGAAAAAGUUGUGACUGGUAAGGUUUUUCUUUAGGAGGAAAACAGGUUAUUGGCUGGUCCUACAGUUCUUAACAGUUGAGUUCCUCACUUAAAGGAGCAACUUUAAAGCUGUUGUGUGGCCUCCUAAUCCUGGGAUUAGUGGGAAUUUGUACCAGGUUCAGCUCACUGCUAUGACCUUUGGGUAGUGAGGUGGGGUAGUGGUUUGUUUUCUCCUUCUGGCAUGACCUUGUUAUUUGAAGUACUCAUUCUGAUGAAGUUCUAGUUGCUUUGGAGAGCAGUACUAAACUCCUUGUAGUUACUUUCAUAAGUGAGGUAGUGCUCAGACUGAUUAUAAUGCAGCACUAGCCCUAAAGCCCUGUCAGUAACAGUUUGAUGAAGAUGCUGUAAAUAGCCAGUGGUUCCCAAGUAAUACAAGUUUUUUGAGGAUCUUCAGGAAUAAAAUGGGGCAAAACAGUACCAGCUUUGGAGACUUGGACUGUGCCAGAGUUCAGAAGUUACUGAAUUGUGGGCUCCAGCACCCCAGAAGUGCAGCUGCAGGUGCUCUUGUCACAACAGGCGUUAUGUGUUCCUUGUAAGCUUAGAAACCAAGCAAAUCUUAGCUGGUAUAUUUGUGUGCUUAUUACGUGUUGUACAAAAGAGAUCCCUUAUCUCUGCUGAAAAUUCUUGUGACUGCUCUGUCUGCAAGCUUGUUAAUAUGGCAUGGCCAUGCAGUGGAUAUUACUCAAAAGUAGAAAUGCAGUUGAUUGCAGCAGUAUAUUACGUCUCUUUAAAAGUUUAGCUUUUGAGGGCUGCUGUAGUUCUACUCAGUGUGGUCUGUUAGGACUCACUGAGUUUUAGAAGUACUCAACAGGAUAGAGAGCUGGGGUUUUUGAACAUGGAGAAGAGAAGGCUCUUGAGGAGACCUCAUUGCAGCCUUCCUGUAUUUAAAGGCGGCUUACAAAAAAGAGUGACUUCUUUACAUGGGCAGAUAGGGAUAGGACAAAGGGAAAUGCAUUUAAACUAAAAGAUGAGAUACUUAGAUUGGAUGCUAGGAAGGGAUUAUUAGAGGGUAGUGAGGCACUGGAACAGGUUGUCUGAAGAAGUUGUGGAUACCCCAUCCCUGAAAGUGCUCAAAGGCAGGUUGGAUGGGGACCUGAACAAGCUUUUCUAGUGGCAGAUGUCCCUGCCCAUGGCAGGGGGCUAGGAACUAGAUGAUUUUGAAGGUCCCUUCCAACCCAAACCAUUCUGUCAUGUCUGACAGCAGAAUGGUGCACUCAGAAUGGGUAGCUUUCUGACAUUGAGUACCACUGACUAUAAUAAUGGAUUUGUUCCCAGCAGACUUCAGUAGACUGGCAACUAAUGAAGUUUUGUAUUGGUGGAGUUCAGUUCUUAGUAUCUUAUCUAAGGAAAGCAGUAUUUGUCUUUCAUCCAGUUUGUUGUCAUGUGUGUGGAUCUUUGAUAGCUGCUUGACCCAGUCUCAGUGCAACUGCUGUAGAUGAACCAAAUACAAGUCCAAAACUACCCUGUGUGGCAGAUAUGGGGUGUCAGAACUAAUAGGGGGGGCACAAGAAGAACAUAGACUGAAGAGCUAACUGGGAAACAAGCAUUAACAUCCAAUUCUUGUGCUAAACUCCCUCUUCCCAUGUUCCUGCCUUUAAUUAGCAGCUUAGAGGACUGACAUGAGAUUCCCCAAAUUUUAGUGAAAUAAGGCAAAAAAAAUCAGAUAUGUAGAACUGUGCCUCUUUAUUAGUGCAGAUAAAGCAAUCCCUCAAAGAGACUGUGAGACUAUAGCUGGUCAUGAUAUUGAGACAGGAGUUGAAUCUGUAGCCUAAGAGAUGUUUUACCAGCUUUAUUCUGGGGUAAGCGCUCAACUGUGCUGCUCUUGGUUUUGCUGCUUUGUUUUGGGUCACAGUGUUUGUGGCCCAAUGUUGUCAGGCUGAUGAUAGAUUGUACAGUGUGGUCUUAUCUGCUGAGCCAGGGUAAGCUGUCUCAAAUUCCAUCCAGAACAAUUAUGGGCCUUCUAAUCAAAGAAUUUUAUAGGAACAUCUUACGAAAUGUCAUUGUCACAAAUAUCACAAAUACGAUUUAGAAGACUACUCUUCAUAAAAUGAAACUAUUUCUUUUAUCAGAGUGGUGCUACACUUUGAAUUCAUCUCCAGUGCUCCAGUACCCCAGCAUACGUGUGCUGGAACAAGCUCAUAAGCUUAUAAAGGCAUGCUGGGCAGUUGUCAGAUCCUAUUUUUAAACUGUUUCUGAGAAACGCUUCUGUCUCCUAUCUCUGUGUAGUCAUAGGAGAGGCUAUACUUCAUGCAGGAGCCACGAUGUCUGGGCUCAGCUAACAAUAAUUUUUGAACCUGAGUAUCUCCUCUUCAGAGACAGUAGAAUUGAAUGUGUGCUGACUUCUCUCGGGAAGGAGAGAUGACAAUAACUAGAAAAUAGUGGUAAUGUGCUAUUGAGUCCUUGACUGUCAGUACCAAUAAUAAAAGAUACAGGUCGCUUUGCUCUCAUGACCAGUGACAGAACUUGAGGAAAUGGCAUGAACUGUGUCAGGGGAGGUUUAGGUUAAAUAUCAGGGAAAAGUUUUUCACCCAGAGGGUGGCUGAGCACUGGAAGACGCUCCCCAGGGAAGUGGUGUCAGCACCAAGCUGAGUUCAAGGAGCAUUUGGACAACACUCUCAAGGCACAUGCUGCCAUUUUUAGGGAUGGUCCUGUGCAGGGCUAAGAGUUGGAUUUGAUGAUCCUGAUGGGUCCUUUCCAGCUUGGCAAAUUCUGUGAUUCUAGGUCUGUGGUGCUUGACAGUCUAGCCAAACUUUACACAAAUCCUGAUGGCUAUUGUCAGGGAACCUGCUUCGCUGUUCUCAAGGGAAGACAAGAAGAGUUGAGAGCUGGAACACUUGAAAUGGGGUCUCUUCUUGUGAAUCUUCAACAUAACAGGUUUGCUUAAUCUGCUACUGAUUUGUAGUACAAUUGUGUGGCACUACUGUAUGCCACUUCUGAAUUUUCACUAACUCUGGAAAAUCGUAUAAAAAUGCAAAUGGGUUUCGUAGGCAAGCAGAGCUAGUAUUUUAAAAAAUGGCUUUUUCUCCGUGUCUCACAUUGCGUCCUUUAGACUAGGCAUGAAAUACAGACACUGUAUAUGGGUGUUAACAUACUCCUGCUGUACUGGGGUGGGAAUUGCAAAAUUGAAAGACCACUUCAGAGAAUAUAUAUUGUGUGGCUUGGGGCAAAAAAUAAUACUGGUGAAACAUUUAGACUUGACUUUGUCUCUUAAAAUUGGUAGACAGGGAUAUUUCAAACUGGAGAAAGUACUACGAAGAGGAAGAAAAAGAAUCAUGCUGCUAUAAAAUGAAUUAUACAGUGAUCCUAUGUGUCUUAGAACUCUUCUGAGACACUCUUGGGACCCUGCAGUUGCUAGUGUAGACCUAACUGAUGGGAGGAAUCAUCAUUUCAAAGCAUUAUUGGGACUGUAGCCUGAAGGCUGUAGCUAAGCCUGCACUGCUUCUUAGAGUUGACAGUGCAGGGUCUUCUGUUUUUUCUUUUUCUAGAACAGGCAAGCUGUUCUUCCACACUUUCUGCAGAUUGUCCCCUGCAAAUAGUGCGCUGCAGACUGUGCAGCACAGAUAUUAAUGGCCUUAUAAGUGCAGCUGUUACAUAAAUUGGUUUGUCUUCUGUUUUAAUAAUCCUGUUCCCAUUUAAGUAAAUUGAAGUUGUUAACAGAAAUCAAGGAGAAGAGCAGCUAUCUGAAUUCUACCUUGAGGCUAAGUGUUAGUGCUUAUAGGAGGGAGGGGAACUUAUCAUUGGACCUAUUUUAACCUCAUCCUACAGUUAGCAAGCAGGGUAAUCUGUUUGAAGGGUAUAAUACCUUUUGUCUGUUUACUUAACUGGUCCUUCAUAUUUCAAUAAUGCAAUGACACUGAAGUAGGUUCUAAAACUGUUUCCUCAUUUAAAACAAAACAAACUCCUCCAAUUCCACAUAUUUCUGCAACCUAGUAAGAAUAUUCAUAUACUUUGGUCCUCUUUCUGUUCAGUGUAAUGGCUCUGCCUUACCUAGUCUGAUUAGGUCCGUAGGCUUCAAAUUUCUUCUAUGAUUUAAUCCUCACAUCCUUCCAAUGUGUUUUGUAAAUAACAUAUCACAAGUAGGCAGAGCUGUGUACAAAUGCUGCUUCUGUAUAGAAGUGGCUUGCUUAAAAGUACUUGUGUGUGUCUGUAGAUGCUGCAUGAAGGUUGGAUUUUUCCCUGUAGCCCACCUAUGUAUUGAGAAAAGUGUUUUGCUCUGGGUGCCUCUUCUUUGCUUGAGUAGUGUUGAGCAACAUUUAUGUACUGAUUGAACUCAGUACAUAAAUGUAAACUCUAUAUAACAUAUACUCAUGUAAACUCUACAUUCUGUUUAGAAUGCACAUAUUAUAUGUCUAAAAUAUCUGUUGCAUCUUUCUAGAAAUAAGAUGUUGCAGUCUUGGAUCACAUUUCAAAUCCAAAGCCUUUAAGGGAUGUCUGAAGUAACAGUUUAAGUAGUGGGUGUUUCUUGCAUGAUGCAAGAAUAGGUAUUGUUUUACAAUUGGUAUUAUUUAUCCUUCUACGUUGUUGGUUCCUACUAUAGUAAUAGACAAGCAAAGAGGAACAAAAACCCUGAACUGCGUCCAACAAAGCAGGUCCAGUAGACCUCGUUUUUCUUUAUGUAUAUUUCUAAGAUUCUUGGUUGAAUCUGAAUUUUGGAUGUGCCCAGUUGGCACUGGAGUGAGGGAGAGGUCUUUGCUGCUUAGAAACACUUCAACUGUGGUUCAUAAGCUGAAAUCUUGCUCUGUUUGUCAUAUGAUAAAUAAAGAUGAGAUGUUUCAUUAAACUCAUUUGCUUUUCCCUUACAUAAGGCUAAAGUAAGCACUUAUUUUAAUAUGUAUUUUUUAGUCUCAUUAAGCAGGAGCAUGUCUGACAUGAUACCUUUUUGAAACUCCCUUAGUAUCAAAUACCUGAUGCUCAACUAGAAAUGUUUGAAGGGGACUCCUGCUCUGUCUCUUACAGGGAAAAAUAAGAAUUGAAUAUAAUCUUCUGAAAACAUAGUACACAUACACAGCAUGUACACGAGGUCCAUUUAGCCUCUUUAAAGUAGCUGUUUUUCAGCACAUAUAAGCUGAAACAGUGAAAGCACAAAAUAGCAAUAUAUGUGAAUGACUUGCAUGUGAUUACAGAUGACCAAAGGGAGAAUGAUGGAGCCUCUACAGGUAACUGCAGCUCUUUAAAGGGAUGGGUUAAACCAAAGGAUGUAUUCCUGAUGUUAACCAGAGAACAGUUGCUAGAAAAGCAUUCUCAUCAACAUGUGUGGGUUUUCUAAGCUAUUGUUCACUUAGUGUUUAAAAAAAUGGGACUGAAAAAAUUCUGAUUUUGUGUGCAUCAUCAAUAGAGCUAGCUGCAGCAAAAGGGUGGGCUGUAAGAAGGAAACCUAACUACAAUCUGGCUGUCUUGGUUGGAAAAGAAGCAGGCCUAACCUGUAGUUCUUGAACAUUGUACAACUUUUAAGUAGCUCAGGGGUAUGUAUGUCUGUGAUCUGCUGAUCACAGAAAUUAUGAAAACAGAGGCAUUGUCUGCAACUAUGGAAUUCUGAAAGACUGGUUUAGGUGGGAUCUGCAUGUGAGUAACAUCCCUAUUUCAAGCAGUUAUGCUGCAUCCUCCAUCACAUGAUUCCUAGCUGUUGUGCAACAGGAAAGCCUAGCUUUUUUCCAUUCAUCUUCUGGAGCUCGUGGAGGGAAACACAGAUUGGACUUGUAUUUAACUAUAACUUCCUUCCUAUUGGGAACUCACGUCUGAACUGUUACGGAUUUCUGGCCAUGUGGUAUACUUUGGUUUCCUGCCCAUAUGUGAAAUUUGAGUAAGCAUUGGAGUCUCAGGGUUCGGGAGGGUGACUGGGAGACAUCUUUAUGUGCAAAUAAAUUCCAUGAUUGUCUCCUUCCCCAGCUUUCUGCAUGGGUACAACUAGGUAUACUUUAUGGUAUAUCAUGCUCAGCUGGUAAUAUGUAUGAGCUAGCAAUACAGCAUGUAAGGUUUAUUUAAACUUUCUUAUUCUCAAACUUAAGGACUCUUUCUUUAAAAACUUAAGAUAGUUUUGCUAUUGUACAAGUAAGAUUCUGUGUUACUUCCAGACAUUAAAAGAAAAUGACUGGAUUGGAGGCUAGCUCAAAGAAUUACAAUUUUAUGCCUGAAUUUUCACCUGCCAAACAGACUGCCAGAAUCAGCUUGUAGGUUUUCUAUACAGUAGAUAAAUUGUGAGAAGUGAUGGAAAGUGGCUGAAGAAUGAGGAAGAUUGCUGAAGAAUCAGCGGCACAGAAUAGGAUGGUGCUUAUCUUUAAUUAGAUAUACCUUUUGCUUUGAAUCCUGUUUUGGAACUGUGUGUUUGUGCCCAAUCUCCUUUUGUAGCUUUCUGAAAGGGAAGUUGCAGCCAGAACAUCAGUAACCUUUUAAAUGCAGGAGAAACUGGAGUAAGGAAGCCUAUGAGCAUGCAUGCCUCCAAAGUUCUGCCAAUGCUCUGUACCACUUAAGUCUGUCUGAGUAGCAUAAUCAGUCUUGUGUUUUACAACUCUCAAUUAUUGGGAAUUUAACUUUAGUGUUUAUAGAUGGUAGUAGAAAGAACAUGAUUUAUUGCGGUCUGAUUUUUAUACUGUCAUGGAAAAUCCAUUUGGUAGCAGCUGACUGUAUGUAAUCAUUUCUAUUUUGUAAUGUAUGUGAUUUUUUUCUUUUUUUUUCCCUAGCUAUUUGCUCACUGUUUAACUUCGGGUUUUCUCCAGAAUAUUGUUACAGAGGUGCUUGUUUCCUUUGUUUUCUAAUGUGAAAGAGAGACUCUGCUAAACCUGCAGAUUUUUCAAGAGAGAGCAAGAGGUGCUCAAAGGGGGAAGUUGGUGCUCAAGCUCACGAGUCAGAAUAGGCUUGUAGCUUGUAGUGACAGCUUAACUGACCGGCAGGAAGAGAACUAUAGUUUAAGAACACAGUUGGCAACAGGCUCAUGUCUACCCUCAGAAAAGUAAACUUUCCUGCCACAAUCUCCUGAUCUGUUUGGAUAAUGAUAAAAAAAAAAAUAGUGGGCAAAACCCAAGAGUUCUGUGACUGCUUGACCAGAGUAUAAAUAUUUCAGGCUUUAUUGAGUGCUUGCGCUUAAAUGUUGCAGCAAGACUGUCUCAGUUAUUUUUAGGUUGGGGGAGCAGGAAGAGUGCUUGUUUCCUGUCUUCCCCUCCCCCAGGAACCUGGGGUACCUUAGAUGAGAAGAAGAGUAACAACCCCUGAGCUGGUUUAUCAGUUCCAAUUGAACAAUAUCAGUACAUUUCCUGACUCCCUUUGUGGAGGGGGGAGCACAGCUACGGCAGUUACAUUGCAACACUUUGACAAUAUUCUUCCUUUUGAAACAACACAAAGGCAUCAAACUGAAACAAGCUGCAGCUUAUUUGAUAGUUCUGGUAUGAACAGUCCCCAAAACAUGGCUACUAAAGCUUGUAACUAGAAUCAGUCUCCAGCAACUCCAGUUGCUGUUAUGGGAACUUUGAUGCUGUACACAGCCAUGACUAACAUGAGAAAUCAGUGAAACUGAAUAUUCCAGUGCUUCUUAGUCAUUAUAGCAUUGAUGCAUUUAGGUAACGACCAUUAAUGUCUUCACAUCAACUGCUACUUCUCAUGUACAUAGCUACAGAUUACUCCUAAUUGUACAUGUUGAUGCAUACAAAGGAAUAUGAUAACUUGUAACAGCACCCACCUAGUUUGAGCUAUACCAACCUGCUUCACUUGACAGUUCAGGGUUUUUUGUUAUCUUAAUCCAUAGAGGCAUAAAGAAAUUCAUAGUAGUGCCUUGGAUUUUCUCUUAAGGGGCAGAGGCAAAAAAUGCAUAUGGUCCUGGUUACUGGUACUGUAAAAAUUGUGUAAGACAACACAAUUAUUUCUUUUCUUGUUGCAUGAGUAUUGGCAGCAGUACACAGGUGUUAACUUUGGGAGGAAAAGUGUCUGGGUCUCUUGUGUGUAUCUCAUGUUUGCAAUUGAUUUGACUUACCCUUAGUAAAAAUAAUCACUCUUCGUGACAAAAAUCAGUCUGCAGCAAUCCCCCUAGAAGUAUGAAGCUUCUUGGCACUGUGAAGCAUGUGCAGAACAGGCCUAGAAUCACACAGGCAAGAAACAGUUAAAUACUAGCUUUGGCAUGCAGAAGUGUCCCCAUGUGUGGAGGCAGGAUAUGGAACAGCAGGCUUGUCCUAGUGUGCUCCUCCAGCAGCUACACAGAAAUGUCACUACUGUGUAGAACUGUGUUUUUCUCCGGUCUUCUGCGUAUUUUCCACUUACUUAGUGAUGAUGGUUGUACUCUCUUCAGGGAUAUUGGUUUGCAGUUUGGUCUGGGGUUUUGUUUCGUUUAAAAUCAAGACUUUAGAAACUGAACAAAUCUACUUCUUACUGUGAUUCAUCCUGCUGAAGCAAAAAUUUCAUGCUGGUAUUAACUGCCAUGGAAAACUAGCUAUGUCUGAGAGGAUAGCAACUGAGAAAACAAUUUUCAAAAUCUUGAACUCCGGAAAAAAUGGAGUGUCUACUUACAGAAAGACUUGCAACCUCUUGCAUCACUACUUAGGCACAGGCAGUCAGACCUUAAUUCCCUGAUGUCUGAAUCAUGCUCAUUCAGUUAAAAAAACAUAGCCGUGUGGUCACUUGACUAGUGAGAAAGUUAAACAAUUCCAUUUGGCCUCAAAUGUAUUUUUUACUUGCAGAUGAAAAUCAGUUAUUUUGCAGCUAGUUAAGCUUCUUCAUCAUAGUUCUAUAGAUUUGUGCAGUUUGCACUGCAGCUCCAUCCAGGAGAUUCUCAUUUUCUUACAGUUAGGUAAUAAACUAAACCGUGUGAACACUAAGCUAGUCAAAUGUUGAUAGGAGUGCCUUUAUCAAAAGAUAAAAAGGAGGCCUUGUUAUUAAGCACAAUAUAAACAUAAGCUGAAGUGGUGAAUCACAUGAAGGACAGGGGCUUAAGUCAACAUACUUUCCCUUCAGCCCAUGGAACCUGCAAACUGCAGACAAGUCCUUUGUGGGUAUGGAAGGGUCCAAACGUAAACAGAGCACCUCCUGUUGUUCUUGAUAGAGUUGUAGGUGGUAAAAUUGGGGCUCCAAGGGGGAUCAUGCUCCAGUUCUUGGUUUUAUGCUUCAGAAUAAAGUCUUUUACUGCUUAUUUGGGAACUCACCAAAAAACUUGUCUGAGUUAUGAACCUUUCAUGGGAAAAGAGUAUAUCCAUGUGGUGGGUGGGGGGUUUUGAUGGGUGUGGUUUAAGAAGCUUGUGUUUCACAAUAAGCCUUUCACAAUUCCUGAUGCUGGUCUGGUUAUACACGCCUUAGACACGUGAAACAGAUGUCAUUUAGCCAUGGAUAAUGUAGCCUGUUCACAUGUCCCUUGCAGGCUGAGAAUAACAUUAGCUAAAUUUAGAAGACUUGGAUGAAUUCUUCAUAUAGUGGUCACCCUGGACUGCUCUGAGCUGUGUAUGACCAUGUAUUACUGGUAAUUACUUAUAAUUACACCAACAUCUGAGUAGAAAAGAAGAAGAAACCACUUGGUUAAAGCUUUUUGAUAUUGUUUAAAGAUCAAAAUAUUAGGAUGCAAGUAGUAGGUUGAUAUAUGUGUAAAUUGAGAGAGAGAGAGAGAGAGAUAUACACACGCGUAAUAAGGCUAAAGGGAGUGCAUUAAGAUGAAAUUAAGGACUUCUAGGUAUGAAGGCCACACUGAAAGCUAAAGGAAGGGGACAAGGCAGUUGUUGAGGUAAGAGGAUAUCAAGCAAAUAACAUGGUGAGCUUAUCCAGGCCUGUAGUGAAGGGAGCCAUCUUUAGCAACAGCAGAAGAACAGGAAGCCUUACGUGAGAAACCUGCUGAAACUUGAUGUCUGUCAGCUAAUGACACCUGUCAUCAAGGAAUCACUGGAGCAGUCUGCUGGAUCUGGAAUCAUGGGAUGAACAGAAAGCACUGAGACAGCUGGUGGAGUUGUUAGCUUGGCCUGUGGACUGGAGGAGUCAUGGGGCUGUUUGGGCUGGUUGGAAGAAAGAAUAUAACUAGUUGGGUAGUAACCCAACUCAGUGAAAAGUGAUUAGCGGUAGGGCCGUGUUGAUAAGGGUGACUGAACGAGUUCAACUCAAUGUUGAAACACUGCCAGCUUUGUAAUGUGCCUCAACUAGGAAUUGGUAUGUGGGGGCCCAUUGUGGGGGUGAGGGGCAGUCGUGGCUUGAGGUGUUCUCUCUGAGUGCUCUUCACCAGUCCUAAGGGCUGUUGUUCCAACACCAUAGCGUAGUGCUCUAUUGCUUCAGCUGUUUAUCAUUUGUAGGAGUAUGCUGUGAACAAGGGAGUGAUCUGAUUAACAGGGAGAUCACUUUUUCCUACCCUUGAAUAUAACUUUAGAGUUGGGGCUCGGAGUGGAUCUAAGAUUAGUCAAAAUACAGGCAGAGAUUUUGUAUGGUGUGAAACAGAGUACAUCCAGGCCCAUACUGCUGCAGAAACAUCUCUUCCUCCUUUUUUUUGCUACUCUUUAAAUCAUGUAAGUGGAUUUUCCAAAGCACAUCAGGCAACUAGAAACUCUUGGAUUGAGGAAUUCUGUUACAUAGGAAGUCUAAGGCAGAGACGGGGCAAAGUCUCAUUAAAGGCAUUAAAUAUUACCAUGAGAUGCUGUUAGCUGUAGUCUCAGUUUGUCACAGUUUAACAAAACUAUUUCUGCAAGAAGUGAAGCGGGGAUCUUUUACUGAUAACACGACAAGAAAUAAAUUAGGCAACAAUAUGCAGCAUGUAAUUAUAAACUUUAUAAAACAGGGGGGUCCAGUGGCCCAGACAGUCUGUUCUGACAUUUCUUAACUUUUUCCUGCUUGAUUUCAUGGUGUUACAAAACAUAACGAAGAUGAGUAGAACUGGAUUUUCUGCAAGUGUGUGUGUUCUGAGCAUCAAACACUUUUCACUUUCAUUUCAUGGAUUAAAAUAAUGCAAUAAAAACAAUGAGCUUAAUGACAGAGCAAGUCCUGCUUUCAUAGACCUUUUUCUGCCACCCCCCUUGCCUUUCCGUGGUAACUCCAGUACCUCAUGAGUUACUAGUAAUGCUGGCAGAGACCAAUGUUUACAACUCAAGUCUGUUUUUUGGAUACAGGCUUCGAUCUUCUCUAGCAAAUUAAAGCCAGAUGGAAACGGCAGGGAGCAGAAUGGAAUUUAAUUCUGUUAUGUGGCUUGUGAUGUUAACAAAACUCUUUGGUAAUUUUCAUUGUUAUUUUGCCUGGAAAAUGGCUUGUACCUUCCUUCUGUGCAGUUACUGUAAUGUGCAGUCUUCUUACAGCAGUUCACCUCAGCACACGGGAAGCCUUUGCUGAGAUAUGUUGCUUUACUUCCACUGCAGUGACAGACAAUGGUAUAAUCAUAUUAUGUUUUUGUGGAGUGGUUUGGGGUUUUUUCCAAGUGAAAGGAUCAAAACUAGUUAAUCCAGACAGAAAAGCUUUUUCCUCUGUUCUUGCACAGCUGAUGGAGGUGAAGUGCAGUUGUUUUGCAACGUUUAACAAGUCUUUCUCCUUUCUCCCUUAAACUACCAUAGGUGAAAGUACAAUAAAGGAAUACGCGUUGAAGUCCGAGGAGGGAGGCAGGCUCAGUCACCCAAAACUUCAGUGGUUUCCAGGAUCUGUGUUGCAGACAGGAUAAGGAUUUUUUUCAGUGCAGUUAAUGCUGGGCUUUUUACGCUGGUUUCUCAGAGGAAAAGACUCAACAUGUUGAAUCACAGAGACGUUGCUUCCUGCUGGGGUUUGGGAUUUCCUUGCAUGGCUGCAGGAGCUGUUUUUGCAUAGUGCAUCCUCUCAGGCAGGAACUUGCUGGAGAUGAAGACAGAAGCCAAACAGUUCUGUGCAGAAUGUAAUAGUUUCUGACUCAAAUUGUGUGGUAAUUGUCAAAAUAUCAUAGGGUGUGGUAGGAACUCCUGUGUCUAACAUUGCUGAGGAUUUAUUCCUUUGUAACUUGCCUAAAUGAACAUAAUAUGCUAAUGUCAAUUAACAUAUGAAAGCGGGGGAAAGAUUUCUUGAUGUUUUCUAGUCAUUUGAAACCUGAUAGUGUGCAAAAAUAAAUUUCAGUAUGCUGGA
Molecule: long non-coding RNA, 17194 nt
Organism: Myiozetetes cayanensis
Lineage: Eukaryota; Metazoa; Chordata; Aves; Passeriformes; Tyrannidae
Exons: 3
Source: RefSeq, a predicted model, not a curated record